CCUACGGGAGGCAGCAGUGGGGAAUCUUAGACAAUGGGGGCAACCCUGAUCUAGCCAUGCCGCGUGAGUGAUGAAGGCCUUAGGGUCGUAAAGCUCUUUCGCCUGUGAUGAUAACGACAGUAGCAGGUAAAGAAACCCCGGCUAACUCCGUGCCAGCAGCCGCGGUAAUACGGAGGGGGUUAGCGUUGUUCGGAGUUACUGGGCGUAAAGCGCGCGUAGGCGGAUUAGAAAGUUGGGGGUGAAAUCCCAGGGCUCAACCCCGGAACUGCCUCCAAAACUGCUAGUCUAGAGUUCGAGAGAGGUGAGUGGAAUUCCGAGUGUAGAGGUGAAAUUCGUAGAUAUUCGGAGGAACACCAGUGGCGAAGGCGACUCACUGGCUCGAUACUGACGCUGAGGUGCGAAAGUGUGGGGAGCAAACAGGAUUAGAUACCCUGGUAGUCCACACCGUAAACGAUGAAUGCCAGUCGUCGGGUAGUAUACUAUUCGGUGACACACCUAACGGAUUAAGCAUUCCGCCUGGGGAGUACGGUCGCAAGAUUAAAACUCAAAGGAAUUGACGG
This 560-nucleotide ribosomal RNA is filed under the name uncultured bacterium. Its description in RNAcentral is "bacterial SSU rRNA". It matches the Rfam family "Bacterial small subunit ribosomal RNA", at positions 338 to 916 of the family's 1533-position model. The record is from RNAcentral.